Molecule: ribosomal RNA, 115 nt
Filed under: Oryctolagus cuniculus (rabbit)
Lineage: Eukaryota; Metazoa; Chordata; Mammalia; Lagomorpha; Leporidae
Source: RNAcentral
GUCAGUGGCCAUCCCACCCUGAAUGUGCCUGAUCCCAUCUGAUCUAGGAAGCUAAGUAGGGUUAGGCUCGGUUAGUACUUGGAUGGGAAAUGUGGAGUUCAAAGUUAAGCUUAUU